Molecule: ribosomal RNA, 180 nt
Filed under: uncultured bacterium
Lineage: Bacteria
Description: partial 16S ribosomal RNA
Rfam family: Bacterial small subunit ribosomal RNA
Source: RNAcentral
AUGAAGUCGGAAUUGCUAGUAAUCGCGGAUCAGCAUGCCGCGGUGAAUACGUUCCCGGGCCUUGUACACACCGCCCGUCACACCAUGGGAGUCGGUAACACCCGAAGCCUGUAGUCUAACCGCAAGGGGACGCAGUCGAAGGUGGGAUUGAUGACUGGGGUGAAGUCGUAACAAGGUAUC